This 213-nucleotide long non-coding RNA is filed under the name Ananas comosus (pineapple). RNAcentral's name for it is "long non-coding RNA (ACOM_LNC018556)". The record is from RNAcentral. Lineage: Eukaryota; Viridiplantae; Streptophyta; Magnoliopsida; Poales; Bromeliaceae.
AAUUAGCUUAAAAUUUGUAUCUGAAAAAUUAUCAAAUUACUUAAAUUAAAUAAAUUAAAAAAUUAAAUAAUAAAAUUAAAAUUUUUUAAAAAAAAUUAGAUAGUCGAAUUAAAAAAUUUUAUAAAUAAUUUUAUAGUUUAGAUAAGUUUUAUAUAUUUUUACCUAAAAUAUAUAUAUUGGACAAAAUCUUUCCAUACACAUAUGGCAGUUUCA